This 404-nucleotide ribosomal RNA is filed under the name Fusobacteriota bacterium. RNAcentral describes it as "Fusobacteria bacterium partial 16S ribosomal RNA". It matches the Rfam family "Bacterial small subunit ribosomal RNA", at positions 355 to 776 of the family's 1533-position model. The record is from RNAcentral. Lineage: Bacteria; Fusobacteriati; Fusobacteriota.
UGGGGAAUAUUGCACAAUGGAGGGAACUCUGAUGCAGCGACGCCGCGUGAGUGAUGAAGGAAUUCGUUUCGUAAAACUCUGUUCUAUGGGAAGAAAAGGACUGUACCAUAGGAGAAAGCUCCGGCUAAAUACGUACCAGCAGCCGCGGUAAUACGUAUGGAGCGAGCGUUGUCCGGAAUUAUUGGGCGUAAAGGGUGCGCAGGCGGCUUUACAAGUUGGAUGUGAAAUAUUGUGGCUCAACCACUAACGUGCAUCCAAAACUGCAAAGCUUGAGUUAAGGAGAGGUAAGUGGAAUUCCGGGUGUAGCGGUGGAAUGCGUAGAUAUCAGGAGGAAUACCGGUGGCGAAGGCGACUUACUGGACUUAAACUGACGCUCAGGCACGAAAGCGUGGGGAGCAAACAGG